RNAcentral lists this ribosomal RNA (498 nucleotides) under uncultured bacterium. RNAcentral describes it as "bacterial SSU rRNA". It matches the Rfam family "Bacterial small subunit ribosomal RNA", at positions 66 to 543 of the family's 1533-position model. The record is from RNAcentral.
ACGCGAAAGCCCCCUUCGGGGGGCAAGUAGAGUGGCGCACGGGUGAGUAACACGUAGGUAAUCUACCUUUGGAUGGGGAAUAACAACCGGAAACGGUUGCUAAUACCGCAUAAUGCAGCGGCACCUAAUGGUGACAGUUGUUAAAGCGGGGGAUCGUAAGACCUCGCGUCUGAAGAGGAGCCUGCGGCGGAUUAGCUAGUUGGUAAGGUAACGGCUUACCAAGGCUUUGAUCCGUAGCCGGCCUGAGAGGGCGGUCGGCCACACUGACACUGACAUACGGGUCAGACUCCUACGGGAGGCAGCAGUCGGGAAUUUUGGGCAAUGGGCGAAAGCCUGACCCAGCAACGCCGCGUGAAGGAUGAAAUCCCUCGGGAUGUAAACUUCGCAAGAACAGGAAGAAUAAGUAAGGGUUAAUAUCUCUUACGAUGACGGUAUUGUUUGUAAGCUCCGGCUAACUCCGUGCCAGCAGCCGCGGUAAUACGGGGGGAGCAAGCGUUG